RNAcentral lists this long non-coding RNA (5251 nucleotides) under Gossypium barbadense (sea-island cotton). Its description in RNAcentral is "long non-coding RNA (GBAR_LNC022337)". The record is from RNAcentral. Lineage: Eukaryota; Viridiplantae; Streptophyta; Magnoliopsida; Malvales; Malvaceae.
UAUCAUCAUCAUCAUUAGAGCCACCAAAUGAUAUAAUAGUACUCUCACCCCUACUAUAGGACUGACCAAUUGACAAAUUAUAGUUGUCACCCUUCUUGUAGCUUUGACUGAUAGAUAUGGUACUGUCAUCUCCUUUACCAUAGGUCUGACACACAGUUACAGAACUAUCAUCUGUCAUGUAUGUUUGACCCAUGGAUAUGAAAGUGUUUUCACCCUUAUUGAAGGUAUUGCUCAUUGCAAGUGCAUUAUUAUCCUCACUUUUGUUAUAGGAUUGUCCCAUAGACAUGAAAACAUUAUUCUCCCUUUCAUAGGUGUCACCAAUAGGAUCCCCUUUGUUAUAAGAAGAACCCAUCGGCAUAAUACCAUCUUCCACCUUGUUGUAUGCAUGAUCAUUUGACACAGAGGUAUUAUCAACCCCAUUAAACACAUAUCCCAUUGAUGCAGACAUGAUAUUCUCCGAAUCCUUAACCUCGCUGACUUUUACCUUCCUAAUCCCACCAAGGUUUAACCCAGAUCUAGGAUCUUCUAGUGUAUGAGACAUAGAUAAACAGAAUGAAGAAUCAUUUGUAAAUAUAUCUUCAUUAAGCUUUCUCCCCAUGACAACUUUCUCACUGCUAACUGAUGGCAUGCUUCGAUCAUCAAAAUUCACAGCUCGAGCUGAUUCGGUGUCGAAUAACCGUUCAGCAAACUGCCCCGAGAUUGAAUGAAAACCAGAUGCAUUUCCCCAUGGAGACAGGUUUGAAUUCAAGAUUCCAGAAAAAAAGUUGGUAGUUGAAACUCCAACCGCCUGCUUCUUGUUAGGAAAUAUAUCUGUCUCGGAACCAUCCAUAAACCAUUGAUGAGAACGCUUGGGCUCAAUUCUAGAUGAAGUAUCAUACACCAUCUCACCAUCGUUUAAACACCCAGCUCCUUUCGUCAUCCAAAUGCCUUGAUUCUGGAAAGACUGUUACAUGUAACAAAUUCCUAAUCAGAGGCGUAGAAGAGAAUAACAACAACAGUUGAAUCUUUUUCAUUGACCUAGUAUCAAGAUUAACCGCAAGCCAUAAAUAUUUAUAACAUAAUUAAUGGACAACUUCAAUAAGGUGAACUUUGUUUUUGCACCUAUCAAAAGCUUGACUAGGCACACCAAGCAUGCACUUGAAGAAGGAUUGAAAUAACUUUUGUUCUCUAGUGCUAAUAUACAGCGCCUAAGGACGCACCUUGGUCUUUGACAACCUCAGCACUUCAGCACCAACACACACAACUUACCAAGUAGAAAAUUGUCAAACUGACAUUUUUCUUCACUCAUAUAUACAUACUUAUAUAUGGUUCAUCAGUGCAUCCCCACCUAAAUUACUCUAUUACAACUGUUUGGCAAUAAAAGACACAAUCAUCUAUAGUUCUUUUUUUUUUUUUACCAAAAAGCAUAAUUUUUCAGUUGAUACAGAAUUUUAACCUUCUUUAACUAUGUGAAACUACAUAAGGGACAAGGCAAUAAGCAAUUGCAGAACAAUUAACGAUAAAAAUUAAAACCACUGAAUCAAUCACAAAAGAUACACAUAAAACUGAAAAACAGCAUCGAAAGCAACCAUUAGACCCUUCUCCCACCACUUAAAGCACAUAAAAACAUACCAUUUUUCUAGCUUUAUUUCAAAGUUCUAUUUGGAUGAAUCCUCGCUUCCACUUUGCUGUAACAGUCCAACAAUUAAAACUCUAUCAUAUUGCAUUAAACAAGGAUCAAAUUUACAACUUUACCACUAAACAGCAAAGUUCUAUAACUCCUGGCUGAAGCAGAGACUGUAAAACUUCGUGAGAAUUGAAGCCUUUAAUCGCUAAAGUAAUUAUCUGCAAAAUUCAGGGAAUAAAUCACUUGAAAAACUCUGAGAACAAAUAAUAGUGACUCCAAGGCUGAGGUAUUGUAUCUUUCACUCGAAAUUAUGCAAAUCCAUUCCCUUAAACAUAUUUUAAAACAUAUAUAUUGUUGUAAUUGCUGUUAUCCUUUGUCUUCCUCUUUGCAGCCAAACACAAUCAAAAUUAACCAACAAGAUCAGGCAGCAGGGGAUGCAGCAAAUGCUCCAAAAUCAGGUUGCUGCGGUUGAGCUACGAUCGAUGAUGAGCUCUGAAGGGUAUAUUUUCUUCUCUAGUGAGCUCUUUGAAUUUGGGAAAACUGUAACUACAUUCUUCCAGUUUGUAAUUUCUUCUUAUCUAUUUUGCAUCUAUUACUCUUUCGGUCUGAAAUGUUAGAUCCCUGAUAUCCUGCGAAAUUAAUUAUUUUUGCAAGUUGCCUCUACCAUUUUGACAUUUGGAGUUGAAGCUAAGAACCGCUCGGUGCCAUCCAUUAAUUGGAGCAUAAUUAGAGAUGACAAUAGGACAGAUUUGGAACAAAGUCAUUUUGGAGUUUUUCGAGUUUGGUGUGUGGGCUAGGAUUUGGGGCCAGCUCGGUAUUUUCUUCGUAAUUUUCAAACUUUUAUAAAAGAUGUAAGCAUUCUAACAUGUUCUUGUUAGAGUUCAAUUGAGCUCAGGUUUAAAUCAUUUUUUUUUAUCAAAUUUCAGUUCAUGGGUUGAGACUUGAGAUGUGGCCAUGGUCAAUACCAAAAAAUUAAGUCUGAACUCAACUCCCGAUGAUUUUUUUAGUUCAUAUAUUAUAAAAUAUUAUAUUUAUAUCAAUUCAGUAUAAUAGUUUAUAAUGAAGUUCAAAUAAAAAUAUAUUAUUGAAUGUUAAUUUAAGUCAAAAAAAGAAAAAUUAUCUUUGUCCAAGCUGGCCAAGUAAUUCGCUCAAACCAGUACACGAAAUUAAUCAAGCCCUAAAAGAACAGUACUUAAAAGAAGCAAACAACACAUAAAGACGGGUAGUUUCCUCCGUUCCUCCUUUAGUUCACCAAAGGUGCAAUACCAAAAACAAACAAAAAAAAAAGUCUGAACCGAUGAUUUUUUUUGUUCAUAUAUUAUAAAAUAUUAAAUAUUAUAUCUUACCAAUUCAAUAUAAUACUUCAUAAUAAAGUUCAAAUAAAAAAUUUAUUAUUGAAUUUAAAUUCAAGUCACAAAAGGAAAAUUAUCUUUGUCCAAGCUGGCCAAGUAAUUCGCUCAAACCAGUACACAUAAUUAAUCAAACCCUAAUAAAAGUACUUCAAAGAAGCAAACAACGCAUAAAGACAGGUAGUUUCCUCCGUUCCUCCUUUAGUCCACCAAAGGUGCAAAAUUUAGAUUUCAUCUCUAUCUCUUGAAUUAAUAUCCGACUACAUGUUUGCAGAGAUACAAGCAAAUACACAAAUAACAAGUAUCUCUCUUUCAGGCAUUAACUCCCUACUUUUUAACAUAAUCCCUACCCCCGUAAAUUAAAAAAAAAAAAAACCCCCCACGCCCGGUGCUGUCACCAUUAACAAGCAUAAAGUCUCGUAAAAAGUCACUUCCUUCAUAUUCACAAAACAGAGAUUAACCCUACCUUGCAAAUGAAAAUGGUUGUUUUAUGACAAUUGUUUCAUUUCAUCCUUCCCAUAUAUACGCUGAAGUUCAAGAGUGGCAGCUAAAAACGAAUCUGAAAAAAGAAAGAGGUGCAAAGUAGACAUGUCAAUUGUAUCCCAUCUCAAAAACUCCAUCCGAUCAACCUAAACCAAAACCAAACCCAAACCCGAUUUGACCAUAAAAAGUCAACAACAUGAACCCAUCCAACCACACCCAAAAAUGACUCAAACCCAAUCUGAAAUUGACUUAACAAAAAUGACCCUGACAUUUUAAAUUUUGAAUUGAUCCAAUCCAGAAAGAUUCGAUCCAAAAUCAACCCGACUUGCCGAAUAGACCUGACCUUUUUAGUUUACUCAAUAAAGUGCACUAGUAAAAGAAGCAUUUCCUUCUGAUUAAAUUUGUCAGUCAAGAUAGGUAGAAUUAAAAGGAAAAGCAAAUCAAGUUCAAUAGCUUACAUCACCUUUCCAAAUCCGGAAGCACUUCUGGUUAAUAGGCGAGCCGGUUAUUGUCUGAAUAACAUCGAACAACAUAUUCUGAGGUGUGCUUCUAAGCUCUUGGACAAUCCCAUAAAUGGUCUUCCCAUUCUCAAAGUAUAUGUGAUUAUUUGGAUGCUUUGUUUUGCAACCAGCAUGCCGCUCAAAUUCAUAUGCAUUGAUCACCUAUGAGAACGUAGAAACUCUGCUCAUCAGCACACACAUAAGUGCGUACACAAUUCUCUCAAAAAAGAAAAAAAAGGUAAAACCGAGAAACCACACCUUAGAAAAAUUGCAUGUCUGACAGCCACAUUGAUAUCCCGAACUCUUUAUAACACCGUGGAGCUCCUUCUGAAGUUCAUAUAAAGAAGCAGGCGUAUCACCGGACAAUAAGGUAAAUAAAAAGAACACAAGUAAUGAGAUUUUACCUCCUGUGACCAUGCAAUAUAUUUAACGGGAACUCCAUCAAGCAUACCAGUUGACAGCAAACUUCUAACAUUUGAUGGGAAGUUAUUUGAAGUAAGUUUUUUGGAUGUUUUCUGCUCAUCUUUCUUCCUAGGAACUUCAGCUCCAGAGGCAAUAAUAUUAUUGGAUAUAGACACUUUUUCACUAGAAGCAUUGGAUCUUUGGACAGAAGACUGACCCAUCAAUAAAUUAUAGCCUGAUACAAUCCUUCCUGGCGGAUUUGUAUCAUCAUCAUCAUUAGAGCCACCAAAUGAUAUAAUAGUACUCUCACCCCUACUAUAGGACUGACCAAUUGACAAAUUAUAGUUGUCACCCUUCUUGUAGCUUUGACUGAUAGAUAUGGUACUGUCAUCUCCUUUACCAUAGGUCUGACACACAGUUACAGAACUAUCAUCUGUCAUGUAUGUUUGACCCAUGGAUAUGAAAGUGUUUUCACCCUUAUUGAAGGUAUUGCUCAUUGCAAGUGCAUUAUUAUCCUCACUUUUGUUAUAGGAUUGUCCCAUAGACAUGAAAACAUUAUUCUCCCUUUCAUAGGUGUCACCAAUAGGAUCCCCUUUGUUAUAAGAAGAACCCAUCGGCAUAAUACCAUCUUCCACCUUGUUGUAUGCAUGAUCAUUUGACACAGAGGUAUUAUCAACCCCAUUAAACACAUAUCCCAUUGAUGCAGACAUGAUAUUCUCCGAAUCCUUAACCUCGCUGACUUUUACCUUCCUAAUCCCACCAAGGUUUAACCCAGAUCUAGGAUCUUCUAGUGUAUGAGACAUAGAUAAACAGAAUGAAGAAUCAUUUGUAAAUAUAUCUUCAUUAAGCUUUCUCCCCAUGACAACUUUCUCACUGCUAACUGAUGGCAUGCUUCGAUCAUCAAAAUUCAC